This 57-nucleotide transfer RNA is filed under the name Salmo salar (Atlantic salmon). It matches the Rfam family "tRNA", at positions 8 to 63 of the family's 71-position model. Rfam says of the family: Transfer RNA (tRNA) molecules are approximately 80 nucleotides in length. The record is from Rfam by way of RNAcentral. RNAcentral also lists the same sequence under 1 other name. Lineage: Eukaryota; Metazoa; Chordata; Actinopteri; Salmoniformes; Salmonidae.
UGGCUCAGUUGGUAGAGCAUGGUGCUUGCAAUGCCAGGGUGAGGGUUCAAUUCCCAC